This 519-nucleotide ribosomal RNA is filed under the name uncultured bacterium. RNAcentral describes it as "bacterial SSU rRNA". It matches the Rfam family "Bacterial small subunit ribosomal RNA", at positions 16 to 507 of the family's 1533-position model. The record is from RNAcentral.
AUCCUGGCUCAGGAUGAACGCUGGCGGCGUGCCUAACACAUGCAAGUCGAACGAACCUUGGGGAACAGAUUACUUCGGUUUGAAGUUCCCCGCUGGUUAGUGGCGGACGGGUGAGUAACACGUGGGUAACCUGCCUUAUAGUGGGGGAUAGCCUUUCGAAAGGAAGAUUAAUACCGCAUAAUAUUGUAAUUUCGCAUGAAACAACAAUUAAAGAUUUAUCGCUAUAAGAUGGACCCGCGGCGCAUUAGCUAGUUGGUGGGGCAACGGCCUACCAAGGCGACGAUCAGUAGCCGGUCUGAGAGGAUGAACGGCCACAUUGGAACUGAGACACGGUCCAGACUCCUACGGGAGGCAGCAGUGGGGAAUCUUCCGCAAUGGGCGAAAGCCUGACGGAGCAACGCCGCGUGAGUGAAGAAGGCCUUCGGGUCGUAAAGCUCUGUUGAAGGGGACGAAUGUACAGCUUAUCAACAACGAGCUGUAAUGACGGUACCUUUCGAGGAAGCCACGGCUAACUACGUG